CAGCAGCCACGGUAAUACGGAGGGUGCAAGCGUUAAUCGGAAUUACUGGGCGUAAAGCGCACGCAGGCGGUUUGUUAAGUCAGAUGUGAAAUCCCCGAGCUUAACUUGGGAACUGCAUUUGAAACUGGCGAGCUAGAGUCUUGUAGAGGGGGGUAGAAUUCCAGGUGUAGCGGUGAAAUGCGUAGAGAUCUGGAGGAAUACCGGCGGCGAAGGCGGCCCCCUGGACAAAGACUGACGCUCAGGUGCGAAAGCGUGGGGAGCAAACAGGAUUAGAUACCCGCGUAGUCCCUGUCUCUUAUAC
This 301-nucleotide ribosomal RNA is filed under the name uncultured bacterium. RNAcentral's name for it is "partial 16S ribosomal RNA". It matches the Rfam family "Bacterial small subunit ribosomal RNA", at positions 509 to 807 of the family's 1533-position model. The record is from RNAcentral.